RNAcentral lists this long non-coding RNA (571 nucleotides) under Zonotrichia albicollis (white-throated sparrow). RNAcentral describes it as "lncRNA (ENSZALG00000011143.1)". The record is from RNAcentral. Lineage: Eukaryota; Metazoa; Chordata; Aves; Passeriformes; Passerellidae.
CAAAGACUCAGAAGAAAAAUGAAUGAUUUACAAGGAAUCCUAAUAUAGAUUGUUUUCACUUAUUCCAGAAAGUGCAGUGCAUAGAAGUUCCCAAGUCCACUAUGGUUUUAUGAAUGUGCUCUUGUCACCUCUACUGUGAUUCCAAUGGCAUUGCACAGGAUACUGGCCUCAUAAGAGUUUGACACUUCAGUACCUACAUCAUGCUCUUGUGCUCUUUUGUUGGCAGCACAUACACUCCAUCUUGAUCUACAGGUGUAAUGACUACUCUUCUGAGAUGAGUUCUUAAUUAAUGCACAGAGAUCCUGGAAGUCCCACCUCUCAACAGUCAUGAUUGACAUCCAAGGAUACAAAAAUUGCACUAAUUGAGCUUUCCAUUUAUACACUUCUCUGCAGCCAGCUCGUCAGAAAAGGAGGGCACCAACUGGAGAGUCCGAAGGCUCCUUUCAGCUCUAGGCUCCUCUCAGCAGUCCAUCACACUACACGAGACACUGCAGAAACACAAGGCAGUCAGAUUCUUGGCUCAUUAGAGAUCCACUCCCAUGGAAAGCUGAAGGAGUCUAUUGCAAGGUGA